ACCGCUGCGCCACCAGGGAAGCCCGCAACCUCCUACAAGCCUGUUCCGGACUGUCACUUCUUGUAGCCGACCCUUCUUUAUUAUUUGUGGAAAAUUCUCCAUGUCUACAUCUGGAAUUGCUCAAAGAUGGAUCUGAGAACGCUGUCUGGGCUUGGUGCCAAGUGCUGGUAUUUCACAGCGGCGACCGCCUCACACGGGCUGUGGGAAG
Non-coding RNA from Delphinapterus leucas (beluga whale), 208 nucleotides. Lineage: Eukaryota; Metazoa; Chordata; Mammalia; Artiodactyla; Monodontidae. The record is from RefSeq and is a predicted model, not a curated record.